Molecule: long non-coding RNA, 434 nt
Filed under: Homo sapiens (human)
Lineage: Eukaryota; Metazoa; Chordata; Mammalia; Primates; Hominidae
Description: HSALNT0279200
Source: RNAcentral
GGGCUGCCUUGCCAGGUCCAGCCCAGCUGACUUACAGGACUGAGGGCCACAGGACGGUGCCCAUGGACAGGAUAUUGCAUCCCCACCGGGCCCCAAGACAUUCCCCAGACCACCAAUGUGUCCAGGCUUGCAUUCUCUGAGACUUGGACCCUCCAGGAAGCAUGAUAAGUUUUCCUUCAGGGGAGCGCCAUGGACCUUGGAGCCCUGAACUCGAAGCGCAUCCUCUGGCCGGGUCAUGCCAAGGCUUGUGAUGCAGCCCAAGGGGGUGUUCCGAGAAUCAGGGAGCAUCGGUGCACAAUUCCAGGUGCAGGGUAAGCGUAUGGCCUCCUCGGGAGCUGGGGAUGGUCCCCAACCUUUCCAAAGAGCACCGUGUGGGAGGGGGAGGGAAAGUGACUCUGCAGAGGAGACACCUGAGGGACACACCUGAGCCAGGC